This 346-nucleotide ribosomal RNA is filed under the name uncultured bacterium. RNAcentral describes it as "bacterial SSU rRNA". It matches the Rfam family "Bacterial small subunit ribosomal RNA", at positions 1 to 334 of the family's 1533-position model. The record is from RNAcentral.
CUAGCGACUUCAGAGUUUGAUCCUGGCUCAGGAUGAACGCUAGCUACAGGCUUAACACAUGCAAGUCGAGGGGCAGCACAGAGAUAGCUUGCUAUCUUGGGUGGCGACCGGCGCACGGGUGAGUAACGCGUAUCCAACCUGCCCAUUACUCGGGGAUAGCCUUGCGAAAGUAAGAUUAAUACCCGAUGUUGUUUGAUUGCCGCAUGACGAUCAAACCAAAGAUUUAUUGGUAAUGGAUGGGGAUGCGUGACAUUAGGUAGUUGGUGAGGUAACGGCUCACCAAGCCCACGAUGUCUAGGGGUUCUGAGAGGAAGGUCCCCCACACUGGAACUGAGACACGGUCCAG